AGAUCAUACACAGUGAUAGAUACAUAAUGAUGAACGUGAUUAAU
RNAcentral lists this non-coding RNA (44 nucleotides) under Trypanosoma brucei brucei. The record is from RNAcentral. Lineage: Eukaryota; Euglenozoa; Kinetoplastea; Trypanosomatida; Trypanosomatidae.